This 1663-nucleotide long non-coding RNA is filed under the name Homo sapiens (human). Its description in RNAcentral is "long non-coding RNA NONHSAT081816.2". The record is from RNAcentral. Lineage: Eukaryota; Metazoa; Chordata; Mammalia; Primates; Hominidae.
GGGAGGGAGCGAAGGAGGUAGAGAAGAGUGGAGGCGCCAGGGGAGGGAGCGUAGCUUGGUUGCUCCGUAGUACGGCGGCUCGCGAGGAAGAAUCCCGAGCGGGCUCCGGGACGGACAGAGAGGCGGGCGGGGAUGGUGUGCGGGGCUGCGGCUCCUGCGUCCCUCCCAGCGGCGCGUGAGCGGCACUGAUUUGUCCCUGGGGCGGCAGCGCGGACCCGCCCGGAGAUGAGCGUCGAUUAGCAAGGUAAAAGUAACAGAACCAUGGCUCAGUUUCCAACACCUUUUGGUGCAGCCUGGAUAUCUGGGCCAUAACUGUAGAGGAAAGAGCGAAGCAUGAUCAGCAGUUCCAUAGUUUAAAGCCAAUAUCUGGAUUCAUUACUGUGAUCAAGCUAGAAACUUUUUUUUUCAAUCUGGGUUACCUCAACCUGUUUUAGCACAGAUAUGGCACUAGCUGACAUGAAUAAUGAUGGAAGAAUGGAUCAAGUGGAGUUUUCCAUAGCUAUGAAACUUAUCAAACUGAAGCUACAAGGAUAUCAGCUACCCUCUGCACUUCCCCCUGUCAUGAAACAGCAACCAGUUGCUAUUUCUAGCGCACCAGCAUUUGUAUGGGAGGUAUCGCCAGCAUGCCACCGCUUACAGCUGUUGCUCCAGUGCCAAUGGGAUCCAUUCCAGUUGUUGGAAUGUCUCCAACCCUAGUAUCUUCUGUUCCCACAGCAGCUGUGCCCCCCCUGGCUAACGGGGCUCCCCCUGUUAUACAACCUCUGCCUGCAUUUGCUCAUCCUGAGCCACAUUGCCAAAGAGUUCUUCCUUUAGUAGAUCUGGUCCAGGGUCACAACUAAACACUAAAUUACAAAAGGCACAGUCAUUUGAUGUGGCCAGGUCCCACCAGUGGCAGAGUGGGCUGUUCCUCAGUCAUCAAGACUGAAAUACAGGCAAUUAUUCAAUAGUCAUGACAAAACUAUGAGUGGACACUUAACAGUCCCCAAGCAAGAACUAUUCUUAUGCAGUCAAGUUUACCACAGGCUCAGCUGGCUUCAAUAUGAAUCUUUCUGACAUUGAUCAAGAUGGAAAACUUACAGCAGAGGAAUUUAUCCUGGCAAUGCACCUCAUUGAUGUAGCUAUGUCUGGCCAACCACUGCCACCUGUCCUGCCUCCAGAAUACAUUCCACCUUCUUUUAGAGAGUUCGAUCUGGCAGUGGUAUAUCUGUCAUAAGCUCAACAUCUGUAGAUCAGAGGCUACCAGAGGAACCAGUUUUAGAAGAUGAACAACAACAAUUAGAAAAGAAAUUACCUGAACGUUUGAAGAUAAGAAGCGGGAGAACUUUGAACGUGGCAACCUGGAACUGGAGAAACGAAGGCAAGCUCUCCUGGAACAGCAGCGCAAGGAGCAGGAGCGCCUGGCCCAGCUGGAGCGGGCGGAGCAGGAGAGGAAGGAGCGUGAGCGCCAGGAGCAAGAGCGCAAAAGACAACUGGAACUGGAGAAGCAACUGGAAAAGCAGCGGGAGCUAGAACGGCAGAGAGAGGAGGAGAGGAGGAAAGAAAUUGAGAGGCGAGAGCUGCAAAACGGGAACUUGAAAGGCAACGACAACUUGAGUGGGAACGGAAUCGAAGGCAAGAACUACUAAAUCAAAGAAACAAAGAACAAGAGGACAUAGUUGUACUG